CAUUCACGGAGAGUUUGAUCCUGGCUCAGGACGAACGCUGGCGGCGUGCUUAACACAUGCAAGUCGAACGAUGAACCACUUCGGUGGGGAUUAGUGGCGAACGGGUGAGUAACACGUGGGCAAUCUGCCCUGCACUCUGGGACAAGCCCUGGAAACGGGGUCUAAUACCGGAUACAACCACUGACCGCAUGGUCGGGUGGUGGAAAGCUCCGGCGGUGCAGGAUGAGCCCGCGGCCUAUCAGCUUGUUGGUGAGGUAACGGCUCACCAAGGCGACGACGGGUAGCCGGCCUGAGAGGGCGACCGGCCACACUGGGACUGAGACACGGCCCAGACUCCUACGGGAGGCAGCAGUGGGGAAUAUUGCACAAUGGGCGAAAGCCUGAUGCAGCGACGCCGCGUGAGGGAUGACGGCCUUCGGGUUGUAAACCUCUUUCAGCAGGGAAGAAGCGAGAGUGACGGUACCUGCAGAAGAAGCGCCGGCUAACUACGUGCCAGCAGCCGCGGUAAUACGUAGGGCGCAAGCGUUGUCCGGAAUUAUUGGGCGUAAAGAGCUCGUAGGCGGCUUGUCACGUCGGUUGUGAAAGCCCGGGGCUUAACCCCGGGUCUGCAGUCGAUACGGGCAGGCUAGAGUUCGGUAGGGGAGAUCGGAAUUCCUGGUGUAGCGGUGAAAUGCGCAGA
RNAcentral lists this ribosomal RNA (679 nucleotides) under Streptomyces sp. SID9944. Its description in RNAcentral is "bacterial SSU rRNA". It matches the Rfam family "Bacterial small subunit ribosomal RNA", at positions 1 to 694 of the family's 1533-position model. The record is from RNAcentral. Lineage: Bacteria; Bacillati; Actinomycetota; Actinomycetes; Kitasatosporales; Streptomycetaceae.